UGACAAUUGAGAGUCCCUGCUUAAGCUUGAAUAAACGACCCUUGUGUGCUUACAUCGGAAACGGCCUCCUGGUGGUCUUUGGGACCUCACAAUCUGGGCACAACAUUUGGGGGCUCGUCCGGGAUCCCAAGACCUUCAGGACUCCCGUACCGGAGGGUCAACGCCGGCUGCUUCUGCAGGUCCUGUUCACCACUGAGGAACGAGAGAGGAUCCAGAAUGAGGCCAGGAAAUUGGUUCCUGGUGACAAUGGUCAACCCACCACCAAUGCUGACACUAUCAACACUUCUUUUCCUCUGUCCCGACCCAACUGGGACUUCAACACGGCGGAAGAUGACCUCCUCAUAGCAGCUGAAACGCGGGAAGACUGCCUAAGUGGAACCAAGAGACUCUUGAUAGUCAUAGGAGAACUGGGGUACCGGGC
RNAcentral lists this long non-coding RNA (421 nucleotides) under Heterocephalus glaber (naked mole-rat). RNAcentral describes it as "lncRNA (ENSHGLG00100049793.1)". Lineage: Eukaryota; Metazoa; Chordata; Mammalia; Rodentia; Bathyergidae. The record is from RNAcentral.